CGUAUGGUGUUAAGCGGUUGCAAAGUCAAUCGGGCUUAAUAGCGAUACGGCUUCUUAAUGAGGU
RNAcentral lists this non-coding RNA (64 nucleotides) under unclassified sequences. RNAcentral describes it as "L31-Gammaproteobacteria ribosomal protein leader". It matches the Rfam family "L31-Gammaproteobacteria ribosomal protein leader". The record is from RNAcentral.